RNAcentral lists this transfer RNA (74 nucleotides) under Pteropus alecto (black flying fox). It matches the Rfam family "tRNA". Rfam says of the family: Transfer RNA (tRNA) molecules are approximately 80 nucleotides in length. The record is from Rfam by way of RNAcentral. Lineage: Eukaryota; Metazoa; Chordata; Mammalia; Chiroptera; Pteropodidae.
GGCUCCAUAGCACAGCGGUCAGCACGUCUGCUUUAUACGUAGAAGGUCCUGGGUUCGCGCCCCAGGUGGAGCCA